UGCUUAGCCGUAAAAAAUCUACUCACACCACUUCCGCCAGGGUAUUACGAGCAAAAGCUUAAAACCCAAAGGACUUGACGGUAUCCUAUCCACCUAGAGGAGCCUGUUCUAUAAUCGACACCACCCGAUACACCCCACUGUUUUUUGCAUAUCAGCCUGUAUACCUCCGUCGUAAGCUUGCCAUAUGAAUGAUCUAAAGCAAGCCUAAAGAUAUAUCCACCUUAACGUCAGGUCAAGGUGCAGCCCACAAAGCAGUAAGAAAUGGGCUACAAUUUCUAUGUUAGAACAAACGAAAGGCUACAUGAAAUCCAACCAUGAAGGCGGAUUUAGUAGUAAAAAGAAAAUAGAGAGUUCUUUUUAACCAGGCACUGGGACAUGU
Molecule: ribosomal RNA, 379 nt
Filed under: Probreviceps durirostris
Lineage: Eukaryota; Metazoa; Chordata; Amphibia; Anura; Brevicipitidae
Description: partial 12S ribosomal RNA
Rfam family: Bacterial small subunit ribosomal RNA
Source: RNAcentral